This 497-nucleotide ribosomal RNA is filed under the name uncultured bacterium. RNAcentral's name for it is "partial 16S ribosomal RNA". It matches the Rfam family "Bacterial small subunit ribosomal RNA", at positions 28 to 507 of the family's 1533-position model. The record is from RNAcentral.
GAUGAACGCCGGCGGCGUGCCUAAUACAUGCAAGUCGAGCGAACGGACGAGAAGCUUGCUUCUCUGAUGUUAGCGGCGGACGGGUGAGUAACACGUGGAUAACCUACCUAUAAGACUGGGAUAACUUCGGGAAACCGUAGCUAAUACCGGAUAAUAUUUUGAACCGCAUGGUUCAAAAGUGAAAGACGGUCUUGCUGUCACUUAUAGAUGGAUCCGCGCUGCGUUAGCUAGUUGGUAAGGUAACGGCUUACCAAGGCAACGAUGCAUAGCCGACCUGAGAGGGUGAUCGGCCACACUGGAACUGAGACACGGUCCAGACUCCUACAGGAGGCAGCAGUAGGGAAUCUUCCGCAAUGGGCGAAAGCCUGACGGAGCAACGCCGCGUGAGUGAUGAAGGUCUUCGGAUCGUAAAACUCUGUUAUUAGGGAAGAACAAAUGUGUAAGUAACUGUGCACAUCUUGACGGUACCUAAUCAGAAAGCCACGGCUAACUACGUG